This 254-nucleotide ribosomal RNA is filed under the name uncultured bacterium. Its description in RNAcentral is "partial 16S ribosomal RNA". It matches the Rfam family "Bacterial small subunit ribosomal RNA", at positions 524 to 776 of the family's 1533-position model. The record is from RNAcentral.
CACGUAGGGUGCGAGCGUUGUCCGGAAUUAUUGGGCGUAAAGAGCGCGUAGGCGGUGUGUCGCGUCGGCCGUGAAAACCUGCAGCUUAACUGUGGGCGUGCGGUCGAUACGGGCAUCACUGGAGUUCGGCAGGGGAGACUGGAAUUCCUGGUGUAGCGGUGAAAUGCGCAGAUAUCAGGAGGAACACCGGUGGCGAAGGCGGGUCUCUGGGCCGAUACUGACGCUGAGGAGCGAAAGCGUGGGGAGCGAACAGG